AGUCUCGACCAAUUCUGGGCACAGAAAGACGUGAUUUCUUCGAGAAGCCUUCAAAGGGGACUUUAUUAUGGCCUGGAGGGAUGUGUCCAGAAUUUAGAAUUAGAUGUUGUGAAUGAGACCACAGGUAAAAUGGAGGUGAGUGUUUACAGAUCCCAGUGCAAGCGGGAGAAGAGUUCGCUAACAGUCGUCACGAUUCCAGAUAACAACAUCCAAGACCAACACUGUUCGUGUGCCGCAGGGUAAAAUACAUUUAAUUUACUUUUCAUGAUUUAAACUAAUCUGGAGAGGCCCUGAGUGUUACAGUCACUCAGCUAGUGUGCUAACCUGGGCUAACAUUAUAGCGUUAGCUAGUUUAGCAGAGGCGACAGCUCUGUUACUGUAUCGCUAAUGACGAUUCAAUAACUGUCGGUAAAGUUAGUAGAUUUGAAGCUUACUUGAAAAUAGACCUAGAUACUGUUUUUUAGUAUAUUCACUCAUUUGAAUUUGAUGUAUUCCUCCACCUGUGAGCAUAAUAAAAGGUUUAUCUGAGACCUGAAGACUUCUCAGGUUGUCCUUGAGCAGUCAACUAAAAAACUGAUUCUUACAGGUGGAUCGUUGGUCACACUUUAAGGACUUCCUCCCUCAGAUUUCUUCAGAUCUUCCUCAGACUUUAGAUGAUUCAGAAGACAGUGAUGAUGAAUAUUUGUUCAAGUUUUGUUAUUCUUUCAAACAGCCCUGGAGCUGCUGAGGUUGGAGAAAUGUCCCUCACUGACUGAGUGGGUUUGUACCUGUGACAUCUAUCAAUCAAAACAAAGUCCAGAUCAGUUUUUCAUCUUUAUUCAUCAUUUAAAAAAGGACAAAAUACAGAUUCAAAAUGAAAUAUGAAGAAACCAUUUGAAUUGUCCUCACAGCUGAACUAUUACAGU
Non-coding RNA from Xyrichtys novacula (pearly razorfish), 905 nucleotides. Lineage: Eukaryota; Metazoa; Chordata; Actinopteri; Labriformes; Labridae. The record is from the annotation of a GenBank genome assembly.